GACGAACGCUGGCGGCGUGCCUAAUACAUGCAAGUCGAGCGGAACUGGGGGAGCUUGCUCCUUCCAGUUUAGCGGCGGACGGGUGAGUAACACGUGGGCAACCUGCCCUGCAGAUCGGGAUAACUCCGGGAAACCGGUGCUAAUACCGAAUAGUUUGGCGCCUCUCCUGAGGCGCUACGGAAAGACGGUUUCGGCUGUCACUGCAGGAUGGGCCCGCGGCGCAUUAGCUAGUUGGUGGGGUAACGGCCCACCCAGGCGACGAUGCGUAGCCGACCUGAGAGGGUGACCGGCCACACUCGGACUGAGACACGGCCCAGACUCCUACGGGAGGCAGCAGUAGGGAAUCUUCCGCAAUGGACGCAAGUCUGGCGGAGCAACGCCGCGUGAGUGACGAAGGUUUUCGGAUCGUAAAACUCUGUUGUGAGGGAAGAACACGUACCAACUAACUAUUGGUACCUUGACGGUACCUCGCCAGAAAGCCACGGCUAACUACGUGCCAGCCGCCGCAGUAA
Molecule: ribosomal RNA, 512 nt
Filed under: uncultured bacterium
Lineage: Bacteria
Description: partial 16S ribosomal RNA
Rfam family: Bacterial small subunit ribosomal RNA
Source: RNAcentral